Molecule: ribosomal RNA, 468 nt
Filed under: uncultured bacterium
Lineage: Bacteria
Description: partial 16S ribosomal RNA
Rfam family: Bacterial small subunit ribosomal RNA
Source: RNAcentral
GACGAACGCUGGCGGCGCGCCUAACACAUGCAAGUCGAACGGAGCUGAGAGAAGCUUGCUUUUCUUAGCUUAGUGGCGAACGGUUGAGUAACGCGUGAGUAACCUGCCCUGGAGUGGGGGACAACAGUUGGAAACGACUGCUAAUACCGCAUAAGCCCACGAUCCGGCAUCGGAUUGAGGGAAAAGGAUUUAUUCGCUUCAGGAAGGACUCGCGUCCAAUUAGCUAGUUGGUGAGGUAACGGCCCACCAAGGCGACGAUUGGUAGCCGGACUGAGAGGUUGAACGGCCACAUUGGGACUGAGACACGGCCCAGACUCCUACGGGAGGCAGCAGUGGGGGAUAUUGCACAAUGGGGGAAACCCUGAUGCAGCGACGCCGCGUGGAGGAAGAAGGUUUUCGGAUUGUAAACUCCUGUCGUUAGGGACGAUAAUGACGGUACCUAACAAGAAAGCACCGGCUAACUACGUG